Molecule: ribosomal RNA, 526 nt
Filed under: Xanthocryptus novozealandicus
Lineage: Eukaryota; Metazoa; Arthropoda; Insecta; Hymenoptera; Ichneumonidae
Description: partial 16S large subunit ribosomal RNA
Rfam family: Archaeal large subunit ribosomal RNA (bases 391-526)
Source: RNAcentral
AACAUGUYUUAUUGAAUUUUAAUUUUAAGUUYAAUCUGCUCCAUGAUUAUUUAAAUAGCUGCAGUAUUUUGACUGUACAAAGGUAGCAUAAUAAAUAGUUUUUUAAUUAAAAGCUAGAAUGAAUGAUUGGAUAAGGUAAAUAUUGUCUCAAAUUUAAUAGUAUUAGAAUUUUUUUUUUAGUAAAAAUACUAAAAUAAAUUUAAAAGACGAGAAGACCCUAUAGAUUUUUAUAUUUUAAUUUUAAUAAAUUUAAAUUUAAUUAAUUAUUAAAAUAAAAAAUAUUAGGUUGGGGAAAUUAUUAAAUUAAUUAAAUUUUAAUUAAAAUAUUAAACAAAAAUUUUUGAUUUAAAUGAUCCUUUUUUUAAGAUUAAUAGAAUAAAAUACCUUAGGGAUAACAGCGUAAUUUUUUCUGAGAGACCUAAUUGAUGAAAAAGAUUGCGACCUCGAUGUUGAAUUAAAAUAAAAUUUUAAUGUAGAAGUUAAAAAUUUUUGGUCUGUUCGACCAGUAAUAUUUUACGUGAUCUGA